This 465-nucleotide ribosomal RNA is filed under the name Vreelandella stevensii. RNAcentral describes it as "partial 16S ribosomal RNA". It matches the Rfam family "Bacterial small subunit ribosomal RNA", at positions 338 to 795 of the family's 1533-position model. The record is from RNAcentral. Lineage: Bacteria; Pseudomonadati; Pseudomonadota; Gammaproteobacteria; Oceanospirillales; Halomonadaceae.
CCUACGGGGGGCUGCAGUGGGGAAUAUUGGACAAUGGGGGCAACCCUGAUCCAGCCAUGCCGCGUGUGUGAAGAAGGCCCUCGGGUUGUAAAGCACUUUCAGUGAGGAAGAACGCCUGGUGGUUAAUACCCAUCAGGAAAGACAUCACUCACAGAAGAAGCACCGGCUAACUCCGUGCCAGCAGCCGCGGUAAUACGGAGGGUGCGAGCGUUAAUCGGAAUUACUGGGCGUAAAGCGCGCGUAGGUGGCUUGAUAAGCCGGUUGUGAAAGCCCCGGGCUCAACCUGGGAACGGCAUCCGGAACUGUCAAGCUAGAGUGCAGGAGAGGAAGGUAGAAUUCCCGGUGUAGCGGUGAAAUGCGUAGAGAUCGGGAGGAAUACCAGUGGCGAAGGCGGCCUUCUGGACUGACACUAACACUGAGGUGCGAAAGCGUGGGUAGCAAACAGGAUUAGAUACCCCGGUAGUC